GGCGCUAUAGCCAAGUGGUUACGGCGACAGAUUAGAAUUUCCUUAUCUCUAAGUAGUUCUCAUCUGUUCCUCUUUGAGGGCGCAGGUUCGAAUCCUGCUGGCGUCG
RNAcentral lists this transfer RNA (106 nucleotides) under Lentinula lateritia. RNAcentral describes it as "tRNA-Ser". It matches the Rfam family "tRNA". From Rfam's summary of the family: Transfer RNA (tRNA) molecules are approximately 80 nucleotides in length. Lineage: Eukaryota; Fungi; Basidiomycota; Agaricomycetes; Agaricales; Omphalotaceae. The record is from RNAcentral.